AUGGCUCUUUGGGUGUAAAACAUAAAGAGUCGGACCUGCCCAGUGAAUAUUUUAACGGCCGCGGUACUCUGACCGUGCGAAGGUAGCAUAAUAAUUUGUCUUGUAAUUGAAGUCUAGUAUGAAUGGUUUAACAAGAAUGUAGCUGUCUCCUUUUAAUUUUUUAGAAUUUUAUUUUUAAGUUAAGAAGCUUAAAUUAAAUUAAUAGACAAGAAGACCCUAUCGAGCUUAAAAGUUAUUAUUAGGAUUAUAAUAUUUAUACAAGUUAUUCUAGUAAAAAUUUUAGUUGGGGCGACUGAGGAACCAUUAAAGCUUCCUUAAUAUAGCUUUACUGAUAAGUUAUGAUCCAAAAUUUUUGAUUAAUAGAAUUAGUUACCGUAGGGAUAACAGCAUUAUCUUUUUUGAGAGUUCAUAUCGAAAAAGAGGAUUGUGACCUCGAUGUUGGACCAGAAUGUCCUAAAGAUGUAGCAGUCUUUAAGGGUUGGUCUGUUCGACCAUUAAAAUUCUACGUGAUCUGAGUUAAGACCGGCGUGAGCCAGGUCAGUUUCUAUCUUUUAUUACAAGCAUAAAGUUAGUACGAAAGGACCACUUUAUGGUAUAAAAUAGUAAAGUUGAUUAAGUUUAAUUACAAUUUAUCAAAUUAGCAAACUUAAUGUAAUUAACUUAGGAUUAAUAGAAACAGGUGAAAAUCCUUUAUUUGAUAUAUGAAGAUGGCAGAUUAAGUGC
Molecule: ribosomal RNA, 723 nt
Filed under: Trivia arctica
Lineage: Eukaryota; Metazoa; Mollusca; Gastropoda; Littorinimorpha; Triviidae
Description: partial large subunit ribosomal RNA
Rfam family: Bacterial large subunit ribosomal RNA (bases 1-576)
Source: RNAcentral